Physcomitrium patens is the source of this 1795-nucleotide non-coding RNA. The record is from RefSeq and is a predicted model, not a curated record. NCBI's taxonomy places the organism in Eukaryota, Viridiplantae, Streptophyta, Bryopsida, Funariales, Funariaceae.
UCGCGAUGGACUGUUCUGAGCCAGACCGGACAAGAGCGACUGGAUCAUCCUUAGUUUGGCAAGUGACAUCAUCACCAUCGAUUUGUUCAGUAGAUAUCCAACAUUAAGAAACGGUGAAUCGAUAAUCACGACGUGCCGAAACUCGGGGACAAUUGAUCAACAUGAGCCAUGAGACUAAACCAGACUUGGCCUGAACUGUGAUGCUGUGCUAGGAAUGAUCCAGUUUCGAUGACGGACAUUCAUCCUAAACCACUUGACAUGCAGGAUCCAGGAAUUGAGUGCUCGUCGGCUGGCGUUGUUGUGAGGCUGCUUAGCCUGCAAAUAAGUACCACCGUCUCAUGCUGAUCACCGCACCUCAUUCUUCCCAAUUCUUGUGUGUUCAGAAGUCAUUUGAAAAACGCCUCGCAGUUCGCUGUCUAAUGUCAAGUUUGUCGCUGAUCGGCACAGCUUCCACUAAGUGGUCAGAGUGCGUCUUUUUAUUCGCAGGGGUGGAGACAGCCAAGUUUCUUAUGAUUCUCAGAGGGAGUAUACUCAGAAAUCUUUCUGCCGCAUUCAGCAAAGCCAAGGGGGCGCCAGCAUCAUCGACGAUCUUCCUUUUCUUAUUUGAUCCUCGAGCAAUGAUCGUCGCAGCCACUUCAAUUUUUACCAACUUCUUGACUCAUGGAACCUUGCGGAUAAACAUCAAUUAGGCACUAGGUAAUAUGUGGUCACUUCGACACUGCAGUCGACAACUGCUGAUCUCACUGAUAUUGUGUGGAACCUACGCUGCCCGCCUUCACUGCAACCAUUGUGUACAAUCCGCGCUGCUUGUCAUCACCGCAACUGUCUUUGUCUGUCCCCUAAUUCCAACGAUUGAGCUAGUGCUGUGAAGAUCGUCGACACGAACCAUGCAAACCUGAAUGCAAUCUGCUGGAAUCCUGCUCCUCAACGACUUGAACAGCUACGAUCACUCAUCGUUCGGCGGUCUGGUUUAAGCCAGCAGCCGUUUUCAUAUAGUUGCUUUGUUGGUACACGGAAUGAGAUUCAUCCUAUAUUACCACCAUCGGUAUCAUCUUUAGUUAAACCAGUUUAUGCACCCAGUCCCAUUCAAUUACUACAACGCAUCUCUGUUCAACUACUAACGUUUUGCGACCGUGCAUUGCGAAUCUACCGAUGGAGUUAGUUAUAUACUUAUUGGCUAUUGUCCAGAAGUAAGAGAUUUAAGAAAUUGUUUACACAGUCAAGGUAGGUCAGAAAGGAAGAGCCUCCACCGAUGCACUUCAUGGAACACAGCGCACAGGGCGUAGAGAACUGGAAAAAGCAAAAUGCACGAAGUUGACUCUCAGAUUUAUAUUGACAGCUGCCCACACCUCAUUAAUGGCACCAGCACCCUCCUUUGACCAGCUUUGCUGAGUCACUUUAGGGGGAGAAUUUUUGGCCCAGUUAAAUGGUAAAAUGGGUAAUUGGGUCUGGUUGAAAUAAAUCAGUCAAGGUGCCUUACAAGGGAGAAUUUCUCCCUCUCCGCCAAAUUUGCCUGUGGAGGGAUGAUUGGGUUUUUCAUCGGUAGAAUUUCAUGCAUUGGAAAUGUGCUCCUUUAUCAGUCUCAGCUGCUUCUUUUGAGAACAUUGUGUCCCAUUUUCUGCUCAUUAUUGACGUGAGAAUCAAAUUGUUGGCAUCAUAACUAUAGAUGUCCAAGUAUGGCUUUUUAAGACACAGACAUUAAGAAUUGAUUUUUAUACCUUGUAGAACAACGCGUUCUGUAGUAUAAACUAGAAAACAAGUAUUAUUUUAAAAAAAAUAUAUAUUUUCUUGUUUU